Small nucleolar RNA from Hibiscus syriacus, 106 nucleotides. Lineage: Eukaryota; Viridiplantae; Streptophyta; Magnoliopsida; Malvales; Malvaceae. The record is from RefSeq and is a predicted model, not a curated record.
AAUCCAUGCUUGGACACUUUUAUAGAAAAUCCGUAAAACGAUCUCCUGCUUCAUACAAAUUCUCUUCCUUCAAUUUCUUGAAGGACGAUAGAUUAUUUCUCAGAUU